RNAcentral lists this ribosomal RNA (336 nucleotides) under uncultured bacterium. RNAcentral describes it as "partial 16S ribosomal RNA". It matches the Rfam family "Bacterial small subunit ribosomal RNA", at positions 338 to 691 of the family's 1533-position model. The record is from RNAcentral.
CCUACGGGGGGCAGCAGUAGGGAAUAUUGCUCAAUGGGCGAAACCCUGACGCAGCAACACCGCGUGGAGGAUGAAGGUUUUCGGAUUGUAAACUCCUUUUGUUAGAGAAGAUAAUGACGGUAUCUAACGAAUAACCACCGGCUAACUCCUUGCCAGCAGCCGCGGUCUUACGGAGGGGGCACGCGGUACUCGGAAGCUCUGGGCGUAACGAGCGCGUAGGCGGGGUAGCAAGUCAGUUGUGAAAUCGUAUGGCUUAACCAUAGAACUGCAUUUGAAACUGUGAUUCUUGAGUAUGGGCGAGGUAGGUGGAAUUCUGGGUGGAGGGGUAAAAUCCGG